GGGGGUGGAUGGAGCCUGGUGGCUUCCUUGGUCUUCAAAACCAAUGUGGCUCUGCUCAGCAGAGCUUGGUGGGUUCGAUUCCCACACUCUCCCGCCA
This 97-nucleotide transfer RNA is filed under the name Gemmatimonadaceae bacterium. RNAcentral's name for it is "tRNA-Sec". It matches the Rfam family "Selenocysteine transfer RNA". Lineage: Bacteria; Pseudomonadati; Gemmatimonadota; Gemmatimonadia; Gemmatimonadales; Gemmatimonadaceae. The record is from RNAcentral.